AAAAGCCUGGGAUGUGCGACACCCUACAUUUUUGAACCUACAUUUACUUUCACGGGAUUCCUAUUAUUUGCAAGUGGAUGUCAGGCCACCGGUACCUUGCGGUACAUGAGCAGUGGAAGGCAGAAGCUUGUAUGCGGUUACCCACCUAGCUAUGGCUAGGAGUCAAAAACGUAGGAAACGGCAUUUUGGGUUUUUA
This 196-nucleotide non-coding RNA is filed under the name Roseburia sp. Its description in RNAcentral is "6S RNA". It matches the Rfam family "6S / SsrS RNA". From Rfam's summary of the family: E. coli 6S RNA was the first non coding RNA to be sequenced, but its function was unknown until recently. The record is from RNAcentral. Lineage: Bacteria; Bacillati; Bacillota; Clostridia; Lachnospirales; Lachnospiraceae.